UACGGAGGGUGCGAGCGUUGUCCGGAAUUACUGGGCGUAAAGGGCGCGUAGGCGGCCAUCUAAGUCAGACGUGAAAUCCCCCGGCUUAACCUGGGAACUGCGUCUGAUACUGGAAGGCUUGAGUAUGGGAGAGGGAUGUAGAAUUCCAGGUGUAGCGGUGAAAUGCGUAGAUAUCUGGAGGAAUACCGGUGGCGAAGGCGGCAUCCUGGACCAUUACUGACGCUGAGGCGCGAAAGCUAGGGGAGCAAACGGG
RNAcentral lists this ribosomal RNA (253 nucleotides) under uncultured bacterium. RNAcentral describes it as "partial 16S ribosomal RNA". It matches the Rfam family "Bacterial small subunit ribosomal RNA", at positions 524 to 776 of the family's 1533-position model. The record is from RNAcentral.